RNAcentral lists this ribosomal RNA (650 nucleotides) under uncultured bacterium. RNAcentral describes it as "bacterial SSU rRNA". It matches the Rfam family "Bacterial small subunit ribosomal RNA", at positions 874 to 1473 of the family's 1533-position model. The record is from RNAcentral.
GGGGUUSUUAACUGAACUUCCAGUAAACGAAAGCUUAACGCGGUGAAAGUGCCUGGGGAGUACGGCCGCCAAGGUUGAAACUNCAAAGGAAUUGAACGGGGACCCGCACAAGCGGUGGAUGAUGUGGUUUAAUUCGAUGCAACGCGAAAAACCUUACCCACCUUUGACAUGGCAGGAAGUUUCCAGAGAUGGAUUCGUGCUCGAAAGAGAACCUGCACACAGGUGCUGCAUGGCUGUCGUCAGCUCGUGUCGUGAGAUGUUGGGUUAAGUCCCGCAACGAGCGCAACCCUUGCCAUUAGUUGCUACGAAAGGGCACUCUAAUGGGACUGCCGGUGACAAACCGGAGGAAGGUGGGGAUGACGUCAAGUCCUCAUGGCCCUUAUAGGUGGGGCUACACACGUCAUACAAUGGCUGGUACAGAGGGUUGCCAACCCGCGAGGGGGAGCUAAUCCCAUAAAGCCAGUCGUAGUCCGGAUCGCAGUCUGCAACUCGACUGCGUGAAGUCGGAAUCGCUAGUAAUCGCGGAUCAGAAUGUCGCGGUGAAUACGUUCCCGGGUCUUGUACACACCGCCCGUCACACCAUGGGAGCGGGUUCUGCCAGAAGUAGUUAGCCUAACCGCAAGGAGGGCGAUUACCACGGCAGGUUCGUG